This 633-nucleotide ribosomal RNA is filed under the name Penicillium pusillum. RNAcentral's name for it is "eukaryotic LSU rRNA". It matches the Rfam family "Eukaryotic large subunit ribosomal RNA", at positions 1 to 649 of the family's 3401-position model. The record is from RNAcentral. Lineage: Eukaryota; Fungi; Ascomycota; Eurotiomycetes; Eurotiales; Aspergillaceae.
UGACCUCGGAUCAGGUAGGGAUACCCGCUGAACUUAAGCAUAUCAAUAAGCGGAGGAAAAGAAACCAACAGGGAUUUCCCCAGUAUCGGCGAGUGAAGCGGCAAGAGCUCAAAUUUGAAAGCUGGCCCCCUCGGGGUCAGCAUUGUAAUUUGCAGAGGAUGCUUCGGGAGCGGUCCCCGUCUAAGUGCCCUGGAACGGGCCGUCAUAGAGGGUGAGAAUCCCGUAUGGGACGGGGUGUCCGCGCCCGUGUGAAGCUCCUUCGACGAGUCGAGUUGUUUGGGAAUGCAGCUCUAAAUGGGUGGUAAAUUUCAUCUAAAGCUAAAUAUUGGCCGGAGACCGAUAGCGCACAAGUAGAGUGAUCGAAAGAUGAAAAGCACUUUGAAAAGAGAGUUAAAAAGCACGUGAAAUUGUUGAAAGGGAAGCGCUUGCGACCAGACUCGCCCGCGGGGUUCAGCCGGCAUUCGUGCCGGUGUACUUCCCCGCGGGCGGGCCAGCGUCGGUUUGGGCGGCCGGUCAAAGGCCCUCGGAAUGUAACGCCUCUCGGGGCGUCUUAUAGCCGAGGGUGCCAUGCGGCCUGCCCGGACCGAGGAACGCGCUUCGGCUCGGACGCUGGCAUAAUGGUCGUAAGCGACC